CAGUAGCCGCGGUAAUACAGAGGGUGCAAGCGUUAAUCGGAAUUACUGGGCGUAAAGCGUGCGCAGGCGGUUGUGUAAGACAGAUGUGAAAUCCCCGGGCUCAACCUGGGAACUGCAUUUGUGACUGUAUAGCUAGAGUACGGCAGAGGGGGAUGGAAUUCCGCGUGUAGCAGUGAAAUGCGUAGAUAUGCGGAGGAACACCGAUGGCGAAGGCAAUCCCCUGGGCCUGUACUGACGCUCAUGCACGAAAGCGUGGGGAGCAAACAGGAUUAGAUACCCGUGUAGUCCCUGUCUCUUAUAC
Molecule: ribosomal RNA, 301 nt
Filed under: uncultured bacterium
Lineage: Bacteria
Description: partial 16S ribosomal RNA
Rfam family: Bacterial small subunit ribosomal RNA
Source: RNAcentral